Molecule: ribosomal RNA, 247 nt
Filed under: uncultured bacterium
Lineage: Bacteria
Description: partial 16S ribosomal RNA
Rfam family: Bacterial small subunit ribosomal RNA
Source: RNAcentral
AUACGGAGGAUCCGAGCGUUAUCCGGAUUUAUUGGGUUUAAAGGGUGCGUAGGUUGCCGAUUAAGUCAGCGGUGAAAGUCAGUGGCUCAACCAUUGAAUUGCCGUUGAAACUGGUUGGCUUGAGUACGUACGGGGCAGGCGGAAUGCGUGGUGUAGCGGUGAAAUGCAUAGAUAUCACGCAGAACCCCGAUCGCGAAGGCAGCCUGCCAGGCCGUGACUGACACUGAUGCACGAAAGCGUGGGUAUC